GUCCAGACUCCUACGGGAGGCAGCAGUGGGGGAUAUUGCACAAUGGGGGGAACCCUGAUGCAGCGACGCCGCGUGGGUGAAGGAGCGUUUCGGCGCGUAAAGCCCUAUCGGCAGGGAAGAAGAUGACGGUACCUGACCAAGAAGCCCCGGUUAACUACGUGCCAGCAGCCGCGGCAAUACGUAGGGGGCAAGCGUUAUCCGGAUUUACUGGGUGUAAAGGGAGCGUAGACGGUUAUGUAAGUCUGGAGUGAAAGCCCGGGGCCCAACCCCGGGACUGCUUUGGAAACUGUGUAACUGGAGUACAGGAGGGGCAGGCGGAAUUCCUGGUGUAGCGGUGAAAUGCGUAGAUAUCAGGAGGAACACCGGCGGCGAAGGCGGCCUGCUGGACUGAAACUGACGUUGAGGCUCGAAAGCGUGGGGAGCAAACAGGAUUAGAUACCCGUGUA
This 446-nucleotide ribosomal RNA is filed under the name uncultured bacterium. Its description in RNAcentral is "bacterial SSU rRNA". It matches the Rfam family "Bacterial small subunit ribosomal RNA", at positions 329 to 792 of the family's 1533-position model. The record is from RNAcentral.